UCGGGAAUAUUGCGCAAUGGAGGAAACUCUGACGCAGUGACGCCGCGUGCAGGAAGAAGGUUUUCGGAUUGUAAACUGCUUUAGACAGGGAAGAAACAAGACAGUACCUGUAGAAUAAGCUCCGGCUAACUACGUGCCAGCAGCCGCGGUAAUACGUAGGGAGCAAGCGUUAUCCGGAUUUAUUGGGUGUAGAGGGUGCGUAGACGGGAAAGCAAGUUAGUUGUGAAAUCCCUCGGCUUAACUGAGGAACUGCAACUAAAACUACUUUUCUUGAGUGCUGGAGAGGAAAGUGGAAUUCCUAGUGUAGCGGUGAAAUGCGUAGAUAUUAGGAGGAACACCAGUGGCGAAGGCGACUUUCUGGACAGUAACUGACGUUGAGGCACGAAAGUGUGGGGAGCAAACAGGAUUAGAUACC
RNAcentral lists this ribosomal RNA (415 nucleotides) under uncultured bacterium. Its description in RNAcentral is "bacterial SSU rRNA". It matches the Rfam family "Bacterial small subunit ribosomal RNA", at positions 355 to 786 of the family's 1533-position model. The record is from RNAcentral.